This 465-nucleotide ribosomal RNA is filed under the name uncultured bacterium. RNAcentral describes it as "partial 16S ribosomal RNA". It matches the Rfam family "Bacterial small subunit ribosomal RNA", at positions 28 to 507 of the family's 1533-position model. The record is from RNAcentral.
GACGAACGCUGGCGGCGUGCUUAACACAUGCAAGUCGAACGGAAAGGCCCCUUUGGGGGUACUCGAGUGGCGAACGGGUAAGUAACACGUGAGUAACCUGCCCUUGACUUCGGGAUAACUUCAGGAAACUGGGGCUAAUACCGGAUAGGAAUCCUUGCUGCAUGGUGGGGGUUGGAAAGCUUCGGCGGUUUUGGAUGGACUCGCGGCUUAUCAGCUUGUUGGUGGGGUAGUGGCUUACCAAGGCUUUGACGGGUAGCCGGCCUGAGAGGGCGACCGGCCACAUUGGGACUGAGAUACGGCCCAGACUCCGACGGGAGGCAGCAGUGGGGAAUAUUGCACAAGGGGCGGAAGCCUGAUGCAGCAACGCCGCGGGCGGGAUGACGGCCUUCGGGUUGUAAACCGCUUUCAGCAGGGGCGAAGCUUGUGGUGACGGUACCUGCAGAAGAAGCACCGGCUAACUACGUG